GAUGAAAUACUUGAAUUUUGUAGAAAUGAGAUGAUUGGACAAUCAUGUAUUGUCUUCUACAUGAGAUAGUCGUGCUCAAGCUUUAUGUGAUAGGAUGUUAUAUUGCACGUCUAAAAAGCAUGAUUGGAUAGUUAUGCCUUAUAACCAUGGGGAGCAUUGGAUGUUAUUUUUAUUAUAUCCCAAUUGGCAUUAUUGUUGUUUUCUCGAUCCUCUCAAUGCACCAUUAGAUAACAGGACAGCCAUCAAGGAGACCAUCCAUGAUGCAUUUGAGAUGUAUUUCAUAGAAAGAAUGAA
Humulus lupulus (European hop) is the source of this 294-nucleotide long non-coding RNA. RefSeq lists it as uncharacterized. The record is from RefSeq and is a predicted model, not a curated record. Lineage: Eukaryota; Viridiplantae; Streptophyta; Magnoliopsida; Rosales; Cannabaceae. The transcript has 3 exons.